Molecule: transfer RNA, 90 nt
Filed under: Auricularia subglabra TFB-10046 SS5
Lineage: Eukaryota; Fungi; Basidiomycota; Agaricomycetes; Auriculariales; Auriculariaceae
Rfam family: tRNA
About the family: Transfer RNA (tRNA) molecules are approximately 80 nucleotides in length. Their secondary structure includes four short double-helical elements and three loops (D, anti-codon, and T loops). Further hydrogen bonds mediate the characteristic L-shaped molecular structure. tRNAs have two regions of fundamental functional importance: the anti-codon, which is responsible for specific mRNA codon recognition, and the 3' end, to which the tRNAs corresponding amino acid is attached (by aminoacyl-tRNA synthetases). tRNAs cope with the degeneracy of the genetic code in two manners: having more than one tRNA (with a specific anti-codon) for a particular amino acid; and 'wobble' base-pairing, i.e. permitting non-standard base-pairing at the 3rd anti-codon position.
Source: Rfam by way of RNAcentral
GACACUAUGGCCGAGUGGUUAAGGCGAUUGACUCGAAAUUACGUAAUCAAUUUCCCGCUGGGAGCGCCAGUUCGAGUCUGGUUGGUGUCG